Molecule: ribosomal RNA, 253 nt
Filed under: uncultured bacterium
Lineage: Bacteria
Description: partial 16S ribosomal RNA
Rfam family: Bacterial small subunit ribosomal RNA
Source: RNAcentral
GACGAACCGUGCAAACGUUAUUCGGAAUUACUGGGCGUAAAGGGCUCGUAGGUGGCCAACUAAGUCAGACGUGAAAUCCCUCGGCUUAACCGGGGAACUGCGUCUGAUACUGGAUGGCUUGAGUUUGGGAGAGGGACGCGGAAUUCCAGGUGUAGCGGUGAAAUGCGUAGAUAUCUGGAGGAACACCGGUGGCGAAGGCGGCGUCCUGGACCAACACUGACACUGAUGAGCGAAAGCCAGGGGAGCAAACGGG